AUACAUGCAAGUCGAACGAGUUCUGAUUAUUGAAAGGUGCUUGCAUCUUGAUUUAAUUUUGAACGAGUGGCGGACGGGUGAGUAACACGUGGGUAACCUGCCCUUAAGUGGGGGAUAACAUUUGGAAACAGAUGCUAAUACCGCAUAAAUCCAAGAACCGCAUGGUUCUUGGCUGAAAGAUGGCGUAAGCUAUCGCUUUUGGAUGGACCCGCGGCGUAUUAGCUAGUUGGUGAGGUAACGGCUCACCAAGGCAAUGAUACGUAGCCGAACUGAGAGGUUGAUCGGCCACAUUGGGACUGAGACACGGCCCAAACUCCUACGGGAGGCAGCAGUAGGGAAUCUUCCACAAUGGACGCAAGUCUGAUGGAGCAACGCCGCGUGAGUGAAGAAGGCUUUCGGGUCGUAAAACUCUGUUGUUGGAGAAGAAUGGUCGGCAGAGUAACUGUUGUCGGCGUGACGGUAUCCAACCAGAAAGCCACGGCUAACUACGUGCCAGCAGCCGCGGUAAUACGUAGGUGGCAAGCGUUAUCCGGAUUUAUUGGGCGUAAAGCGAGCGCAGGCGGUUUUUUAAGUCUGAUGUGAAAGCCCUCGGCUUAACCGAGGAAGUGCAUCGGAAACUGGGAAACUUGAGUGCAGAAGAGGACAGUGGAACUCCAUGUGUAGCGGUGAAAUGCGUAGAUAUAUGGAAGAACACCAGUGGCGAAGGCGGCUGUCUGGUCUGUAACUGACGCUGAGGCUCGAAAG
Molecule: ribosomal RNA, 744 nt
Filed under: Lacticaseibacillus rhamnosus
Lineage: Bacteria; Bacillati; Bacillota; Bacilli; Lactobacillales; Lactobacillaceae
Description: bacterial SSU rRNA
Rfam family: Bacterial small subunit ribosomal RNA
Source: RNAcentral